GACGAACGCUGGCGGCGUGCUUAACACAUGCAAGUCGAACGGAAAGGCCCUGCUUGCAGGGUACUCGAGUGGCGAACGGGUGAGUAACACGUGGGUGAUCUGCCCUGCACUUCGGGAUAAGCCUGGGAAACUGGGUCUAAUACAGGAUAGGAGCCAUUUUUAGUGUGAUGGUUGGAAAGUUUUUUCGGUGUAGGAUGAGUUCGCGGCCUAUCAGCUUGUUGGUGGGGUAAUGGCCUACCAAGGCGGCGACGGGUAGCCGGCCUGAGAGGGUGGACGGCCACAUUGGGACUGAGAUACGGCCCAGACUCCUACGGGAGGCAGCAGUGGGGAAUAUUGCACAAUGGGCGCAAGCCUGAUGCAGCGACGCCGCGUGGGGGAUGACGGCCUUCGGGUUGUAAACUCCUUUCGCUAGGGACGAAGCUUUUUGUGACGGUACCUAGAUAAGAAGCACCGGCUAACUACGUG
RNAcentral lists this ribosomal RNA (465 nucleotides) under uncultured bacterium. RNAcentral's name for it is "partial 16S ribosomal RNA". It matches the Rfam family "Bacterial small subunit ribosomal RNA", at positions 28 to 507 of the family's 1533-position model. The record is from RNAcentral.